Molecule: RNase P RNA, 339 nt
Filed under: Myxococcota bacterium
Lineage: Bacteria; Pseudomonadati; Myxococcota
Description: RNase P RNA component class A
Rfam family: Bacterial RNase P class A
About the family: Ribonuclease P (RNase P) is a ubiquitous endoribonuclease, found in archaea, bacteria and eukarya as well as chloroplasts and mitochondria. Its best characterised activity is the generation of mature 5'-ends of tRNAs by cleaving the 5'-leader elements of precursor-tRNAs.
Source: RNAcentral
CGGAGAGGUCGAGGUGAUCGCUGGUGCGAAAGCACGAGAGGAAAGUCCGAGCUUCAUAGGGCAGGGUGCUGGCUAACGGCCAGUCGAGGUAACUCGCAGGACAGUGCAACAGAAAGCAAACCGCCUGCGCGAGCAGGUAAGGGUGAAACGGUGCGGUAAGAGCGCACCGCCUUCUCGGUGACGAGGAGGGCACGGUAAACCCCACCCGAAGCAAGACCAGACAGGGGUCGUGUGGCCCGCACGAUGACUCCGGGUUGGUCGCUCGAGCCUCGCAGCAAUGCGGGGCCUAGAAGAAUGAUCGCCACCAAACAGAACUCGGCUUACCGACCUCUCCGCCGU